RNA transcript from Nerophis ophidion (straightnose pipefish), 3832 nucleotides. It is a transcript of the gene named ubiquitin specific peptidase 21, with no coding region annotated. The transcript has 12 exons. Lineage: Eukaryota; Metazoa; Chordata; Actinopteri; Syngnathiformes; Syngnathidae. The record is from RefSeq and is a predicted model, not a curated record.
UCUUUCUUGGACACCAGUGACUGUGCAGGACACAUAGGUAGACUUUCAUUUACAGCCUGCACACACACAGUGAAACUGUAGACAUCCCCCUUAUGCAUUUUUAACAGCUCAGCAGGUGAUGGGAACAGUUAGGUCAGGACUCUUUGUUCACAGAUAAGAUUGGCAAGUGAUCAGAACACAUUUGAUUGUCGUCAGCUUGUGAUGCUUUACAAGAAACCAUUCAUUAAAAAGGGGAGCUUAUGAUCCACGACCACGCUCCCAUCACCUUUACCCAGAAUGUGACAGAAGGAGCCUGAUAGCUUCAUUGGUGGACACGCCAGGAUGCCUGGAGCUGACGGGGUCAACGAGGAGGGUUCCUGCAAGGCCUUGUGUCGAAACCUGGUGUCCCAGAAGGAUCUGCAGAGAGAGGCAGCGGACAUUUCACAGUCUGUUCUCUACACCUCCCUGAUGGGACUGCUGCUGGUGGCUGACAAUGAGAAAGAGCAGCUGCCUUUAGGGAGUGGAAGGUGUGGUCUUAGGAAUAUUGGUAACACAUGUUUCCUGAAUGCAAUAGUCCAGUGUCUGUCCCAUACUGGCAAGCUGCGGGACUACUGUCUCCUUAAGUCCUUCAGACAUGAAAAGUUUUCCAAAGAGGAGGCAAGGCUUACAGAAGCCUUCUCUCAGGUAUUGUCUGGCCUUUGGGAUGCAAAAGAAGCGGACAUGGUUGUAAAUCCAAGACAGUUUUACAACAUGUUCAAAGAUGCCGUGCCUUGCUUCAGUGGCUAUAGUCAACAGGAUGCUCAGGAGUUUCUCAGGUUCCUUUUGGACAAGCUGCAUACUGAAAUCAACCGCAAGCCCAACAUUAGACGGACCCUAAAGGACCCCGAUCAAAAAUAUGUCAGAUUUAGGAUUUCUGAAGAAGCGGCUGCUACGUGGAAGAAACACUUAGACAGAGAAGACAGCAGGAUAGUCGAUCUGUUCUCGGGUCAGUUGCGGAGCUCUCUGCACUGCUCCGUUUGCUCCCACUACUCCAACACGUUUGAUGUCUUCUGCGACCUGUCUCUGCCCAUCCCCAAGCCGUGCUUUGCUGGUGAGGUGACACUGAAGGAGUGUCUGGACCUCUUUUCUCAAGAGGAGCGGCUGGACAAGGAGAAUUCACCUAUGUGCGAGAGGUGUAACAGGCACACCGAGAGCACUAAGCGUCUGUCCAUCCAGAGGUUUCCCCAUGUCAUUGUGAUCCAUCUGAAUCGUUUCGCUACAUCACGUUGGUCCAUCAGUAAAAGCACCGUCUGCGUGUCCUUCCCUCUCACCCACCUAGAUCUUGGGCCUUACGGACCUGUGGAUUGCGAAAGUUGUAAUGGGAGGACUGCUUUCUGAGCUGCCACCUUAUCAUCGUAGAGGAGUUUGCCUGUGCCAAUGAUCCUAAGAGCUAUAUGGUCCAGGCGUUUUUAUACCCCCCGGUAGGGUCUCCCAACACAAACAAAUCCUAGGUGAGGGAUCAGACAAAAAGCAGCUGGAGGACCUUUAUGAAGAAAAAAAAAAACAAGGUUUCAGAUUUUCCUGGCCCACACACAGGUCACUGGGGCUCCCUUCUGGAGCCAGGCCCAGAGGUGGGGCUCGAUGGCGAGCACCUGGUCUCCGGGCCUAUACCAAUGGGACACAGCCCGAAGAGGCAGCGUGGGUCUCCCCUCCAACGGACUAACCACUUAUGAGCAGCAGCCGAAGGCAGGGUACUUAGCAGUCCGGUCCUCGGUUACAUAAGCUAGCUCUGAGGGGAAAGGAGCCUGAGCUGCUGCGCGAGAAGUUUGACGCACAAGCAAGGGCUCUCGAACAAGUUGUCUUAAGAGGGGCUGGUCUCUCUUCGCGGCGGGCUGGGGUGGCAAUUUUUCUUGCCUCCCCUGCUGAAAGCCUGCACGUUGGAGUUCAACCCAGUAGACGAAAGGGUAGCGUCCCUCAGCUUUUGGGUUUGGGGACGGGUUCUGAAUGCUGUUUGUGUUUAUGCACCAAACAGCAACUCAGAGUACCCGCCCUUUUUGGAUUCCCUCAAAGAAAUGCUGGAGACUCAGUGCUCCCUAAAUUGAUUCCCUUGUUCUGCUGGCGGACUUCAAUGCUCAUAUUGGCAAUGACAUUGAAACCUGGAGAGGUAUGAAUAGGAAGAACAGCCGCCCGGAUCUGAACCUGAGUCGUGUUUUGUUGUUGGACUUUUGUGCUUGUCACAGAUUGUCCAUAACAAACACAAUAUUCAAACAUAAGGCUGUCCAUAUGUGUACUUGGCACCAGGACACCCUAGGCCGCAGUUCCAUGAUCGUACUUGUGUCAUCAGAUCUGCGAUCUCAUGUUUUGGACACUCGGGCGAAGAGAGGGCAGCGCUUUCUACCGAUCAACACCCGGUGGUGAUUUAUGGUGGUCGGGGAGGAUGCCAGACAGACUUGGCAGGCCUAAACGCCUUGUGAAGGUCUGCUGGGAACGUCUAACAAAGUCUCCUGUCAGAGAAAUUUUAAAUUCUCACCUCCGGAAGAACUUUAAACAUGACACGACGAGGUAGGAGUUGGACAUUGAGUCCGAGUGGACCAUGUUCUGUACCUCUAUUGUUGAGGCAGCCGAUCGGAGCUGUAGCCACAAGGUAGUUGGUGCCUGUCGUGGCGGUAAUCCCAGAACCGAUGCCGUCAAGCUGAAGAAAGAGUCCUGUCGGGUCCUUUUGGCUCCUUGGACUCCCGAGGCAGCGGACAGGUACGACAGUCCAAGCGGUGUGUGUCUUCGGCGGUUGCGGAGGCAAAAACUCGGACAUGGGAGGACUUCGGGGAAGCCGUGGAAAACCAUUUCCGGACGGCCUCGAAGGGAAUCUGGACCACCAUCCACCGCCUCAGGAGGGGAAAGCAGUGCACUGUCAACACUGUGAGGAUGGUGUGCUGUUGAACUUGACUGCGGAUGUUGUGGAUCGGUGGAGGGAAUACUUUGAAGACCUCCUCAAUCCCACCUACACAUCCUUCAAUGAGGAAGCAGUUCCUGGGGAAUCUGUGGUGGGUGCUCCUAUUGCUGGGGCUGAAGCGGUCUGGUCUCUGGAUGAUAGUUGUCAGUGCUUGGUCCGCAUUGCCGGCAGUAGGUCGGACCCGUUUUCAGUGAGGGUUGGACUCAGCCAGGGCUGCCCUUUGUCACUGAUUCUGUUCAUAACUCUCUCACUAUCUCUAAGGGGCUCUACCUUAGACAUAGGAUGAGAAGCUAUGUGAUCCGGGAGGCGCUCAAAGUAAAGCUGCUGCUCCUCCACAUCCGCAGGAGCCAAAUGAGGUGGUUCAGGCAUCUGGUCAGGAUGCCACCCGGACGCCUCCUUGGAGAUUGUGUUUAAGGCACCUCCGACCGGUAGAAAAUCACGGCAAAGACCCAGGACACGUUGGGAAGUCUAUUUCUCCCGGCUGGCCUGGGAACGCCUCAGCAUCCCUCGGGAGGAGCUGGACGAAGUGGUUGCUGAGAGGGAAGUCGGGGCUUCUCGACUUAGGCUGCUGCCCCCACGACCCGACCUCGGAUAAGCUAAAGAAGAUGGAUGGAUGGAUGGAUGGACAGAUUGUAAUGGGAGAAUUUUUCCAAUAUAGUAUUUAACUUUCAAUCAGUUCCACUGUAUUUUGUCUACUUAGCUUUUACAUUUCUGACUGAACUGAACUGGAAAUAAAUGUGUGUGUGUGUCUCUAUAUGUCCCCAAAGGUCCAGUUCUCUAUGAUUUAUAUGCAAUAUGUAACCAUGUGGGGACUGUAAACAUUGGUCACUACACAGCCUGCUGUUCAGAUGAGAAUGGAUGGUGUUACUAUAAUGACUCUAGUGUGACACCAGUUUCUGAGAACCAGCUUCAGACCAAUCAAGC